GCGGAUAUGGCGGAAUUGGCAGACGCGCACGGUUCAGGUCCGUGUGGGGCGACCUGUGCAGGUUCAAAUCCUGUUAUCCGCA
RNAcentral lists this transfer RNA (82 nucleotides) under Bacillota bacterium. RNAcentral describes it as "tRNA-Leu". It matches the Rfam family "tRNA". Rfam says of the family: Transfer RNA (tRNA) molecules are approximately 80 nucleotides in length. Their secondary structure includes four short double-helical elements and three loops (D, anti-codon, and T loops). Lineage: Bacteria; Bacillati; Bacillota. RNAcentral also lists the same sequence under 1 other name. The record is from RNAcentral.